This 468-nucleotide ribosomal RNA is filed under the name uncultured bacterium. RNAcentral's name for it is "partial 16S ribosomal RNA". It matches the Rfam family "Bacterial small subunit ribosomal RNA", at positions 28 to 507 of the family's 1533-position model. The record is from RNAcentral.
GACGAACGCUGGCGGCGUGCUUAACACAUGCAAGUCGAACGGAAAGGCCCUGCUUUUGUGGGGUGCUCGUGUGGCGCACGGGUGUGUAACACGCGAGUAACCUGCCCCUGUCUUUGGGAUAUCUUUAGGAAAAUCGGGCUAAUAUAGGGUAGGAUAUCUUGCUGCGUAUUGGUGAUUGGUAAGUUUCGGCGGUUGGGGAUGGACUCGCGGCUUAUCCGCUUCUUGGGGGGGUAGUGGCUUACCAAGCCUUUGACGGGUAGCCGGCCUGAGAGGGUGACCGGCCACAAUGGGACUGAGAUACGGACCAGACUGCUACGGGAGGCAGCAGGGGGGAGUAUUGCACAAUGGGCGGAAGCCUGAGGCGGCAACGCCGCGUGCGGGAUGACGGCCUACGGGUUGUAAACCGCUUUCGCCUGUGACGAAGCGUGAGUGACGGUAAUGGGUAAAGAAGCACCGGCUAACUACGUG